This is a long non-coding RNA of Oreochromis niloticus (Nile tilapia), 212 nucleotides long. RefSeq lists it as uncharacterized. Lineage: Eukaryota; Metazoa; Chordata; Actinopteri; Cichliformes; Cichlidae. The transcript is spliced from 3 exons. The record is from RefSeq and is a predicted model, not a curated record.
CACGUAUGCAUGGCAUGACUUGGCACAAUUUUCACGUGAUGACGGCUGUGACAGAGGGAAAGGAUAACCACCCUUCCCCUGAGACCAUUUCUGAUCAGGCUUCAGUGAAGAGGACACAUAUUGACAGGUAGUCCUACUGAGAUUAAGAUCUCUUUGUCAAGACAAACCUAUACAAAAGAUAUGGAGAUGGACAACCACAUUCCUUUUUAUAA